Molecule: transfer RNA, 77 nt
Filed under: Erysipelotrichaceae bacterium
Lineage: Bacteria; Bacillati; Bacillota; Erysipelotrichia; Erysipelotrichales; Erysipelotrichaceae
Description: tRNA-Arg
Rfam family: tRNA
About the family: Transfer RNA (tRNA) molecules are approximately 80 nucleotides in length. Their secondary structure includes four short double-helical elements and three loops (D, anti-codon, and T loops).
Source: RNAcentral
GUGCCUAUAGCUCAGCUGGAUAGAGUAUCAGAUUCCGGUUCUGAGGGUCGCAGGUUCGAAUCCUGUUAGGCACACCA